This 496-nucleotide ribosomal RNA is filed under the name Fusarium oxysporum. RNAcentral describes it as "eukaryotic LSU rRNA". The stretch from base 131 to 284 matches the Rfam family "5.8S ribosomal RNA". Lineage: Eukaryota; Fungi; Ascomycota; Sordariomycetes; Hypocreales; Nectriaceae. The record is from RNAcentral.
CAACCCCUGUGACAUACCACUUGUUGCCUCGGCGGAUCAGCCCGCUCCCGGUAAAACGGGACGGCCCGCCAGAGGACCCCUAAACUCUGUUUCUAUAUGUAACUUCUGAGUAAAACCAUAAAUAAAUCAAAACUUUCAACAACGGAUCUCUUGGUUCUGGCAUCGAUGAAGAACGCAGCAAAAUGCGAUAAGUAAUGUGAAUUGCAGAAUUCAGUGAAUCAUCGAAUCUUUGAACGCACAUUGCGCCCGCCAGUAUUCUGGCGGGCAUGCCUGUUCGAGCGUCAUUUCAACCCUCAAGCACAGCUUGGUGUUGGGACUCGCGUUAAUUCGCGUUCCCCAAAUUGAUUGGCGGUCACGUCGAGCUUCCAUAGCGUAGUAGUAAAACCCUCGUUACUGGUAAUCGUCGCGGCCACGCCGUUAAACCCCAACUUCUGAAUGUUGACCUCGGAUCAGGUAGGAAUACCCGCUGAACUUAAGCAUAUCAAUAAGCGGAGGA